Molecule: ribosomal RNA, 465 nt
Filed under: Vreelandella stevensii
Lineage: Bacteria; Pseudomonadati; Pseudomonadota; Gammaproteobacteria; Oceanospirillales; Halomonadaceae
Description: partial 16S ribosomal RNA
Rfam family: Bacterial small subunit ribosomal RNA
Source: RNAcentral
CCUACGGGAGGCUGCAGUGGGGAAUAUUGGACAAUGGGCGAAAGCCUGAUCCAGCCAUGCCGCGUGUGUGAAGAAGGCCUUCGGGUUGUAAAGCACUUUCAGUGGGGAAGAAAGCCUUGGGGCUAAUACCCGCGAGGAAGGACAUCACCCACAGAAGAAGCACCGGCUAACUCCGUGCCAGCAGCCGCGGUAAUACGGAGGGUGCGAGCGUUAAUCGGAAUUACUGGGCGUAAAGCGCGCGUAGGCGGUCUGAUAAGCCGGUUGUGAAAUCCCCGGGCUCAACCUGGGAACGGCAUCCGGAACUGUCAGGCUAGAGUGCAGGAGAGGAAGGUAGAAUUCCCGGUGUAGCGGUGAAAUGCGUAGAGAUCGGGAGGAAUACCAGUGGCGAAGGCGGCCUUCUGGACUGACACUGACGCUGAGGUGCGAAAGCGUGGGUAGCAAACAGGAUUAGAUACCCUUGUAGUC